GACGAACGCUGGCGGCGUGCCUAAUACAUGCAAGUUGAGCGAUGAAGAUGUGUGCUUGCACCAAUUUGAAGAGCAGCGAACGGGUGAGUAACGCGUGGGGAAUCUGCCUUUGAGCGGGGGACAACAUUUGGAAACGAAUGCUAAUACCGCCUAACAACUUUAAACAUAGGUUUCAAGUUUGAAAGAUGCAAUUGCAUCACUCAAAGAUGAUCCCGCGUUGUAUUAGCUAGUUGGUGAGGUAAAGGCUCACCCAGGCGAUGAUACAUAGCCGACCUGAGAGGGUGAUCGGCCACAACGGGACCGGAACACGGCCCAAACUCCUACGGGAGGCAGCAGUAGGGGAACUUCGGAAAUGGACGAAAGUCUUACCGAGCAACGCCGGGGGAGUGGAGAAAGGUCUCGGGUCGGAAAACCCUGUUUGUAGAGAAGAACGAUGGUGAGAGUGGAAAGCUCAUCAAGUGACGGUAACUACACAGAAAGGGACGGCUAACUACGUG
RNAcentral lists this ribosomal RNA (497 nucleotides) under uncultured bacterium. RNAcentral describes it as "partial 16S ribosomal RNA". It matches the Rfam family "Bacterial small subunit ribosomal RNA", at positions 28 to 507 of the family's 1533-position model. The record is from RNAcentral.